This 59-nucleotide microRNA precursor is filed under the name Echinops telfairi (small Madagascar hedgehog). RNAcentral's name for it is "Ete-Mir-15-P1c_pre stem-loop". The record is from RNAcentral. Lineage: Eukaryota; Metazoa; Chordata; Mammalia; Afrosoricida; Tenrecidae.
CAGCAGCAAUUCAUGUUUUGGAGUGUUGUACAAAGUUCAAAACGUGAAGCGCUGCUACA